This 445-nucleotide ribosomal RNA is filed under the name Armatobalanus allium. RNAcentral's name for it is "partial 16S ribosomal RNA". It matches the Rfam family "Bacterial large subunit ribosomal RNA", at positions 1933 to 2590 of the family's 2925-position model. Lineage: Eukaryota; Metazoa; Arthropoda; Thecostraca; Balanomorpha; Balanidae. The record is from RNAcentral.
GCAGUAUCCUAACUGUGCUAAGGUAGCAUAAUCAUUAGUCUUUUAAUUGGAGACUGGUAUGAAUGGCUUCACGAGAAAUUGACUUUUUUUGUUAUAUAGCUUGAAUUUAAUUUUUUAGUGAAAAAGCUAAAAUUUUUCAGAAAGACGAGAAGACCCUAUAGAGUUUUAUAUUUUAUCAUAUUUUUUCUUAUUAGAUUUUUAAAGAUGAAGUAUAUGAGAAUAUUUUGUUGGGGCGACAUUAAGAUAUAAAAAACUCUUUAUUUUUUAAAUUUUUAUAAAAAUAUAUUGUGAUCCUCUAAAAGGGAUCAAAAGAAAAAAUUACCUUAGGGAUAACAGCGUAAUCUUUUUUGAGAGUUCUAAUCGACAAAAAGGUUUGCGACCUCGAUGUUGGACUAAAAUUUAGGCAGGGUGCAGCAGUUCUGCUUUAAGGUCUGUUCGACCUAUA